GACGAACGCUGGCGGCGCGCCUAACACAUGCAAGUCGAACGAGAGAGAGGGAGCUUGCUUCCUCAAUCGAGUGGCGAACGGGUGAGUAACGCGUGAGGAACCUGCCUCAAAGAGGGGGACAACAGUUGGAAACGACUGCUAAUACCGCAUAAGCCCACAGGUCGGCAUCGACCAGAGGGAAAAGGAGCAAUCCGCUUUGAGAUGGCCUCGCGUCCGAUUAGCUAGUUGGUGAGGUAACGGCCCACCAAGGCGACGAUCGGUAGCCGGACUGAGAGGUUGAACGGCCACAUUGGGACUGAGACACGGCCCAGACUCCUACGGGAGGCAGCAGUGGGGAAUAUUGCACAAUGGGGGAAACCCUGAUGCAGCGACGCCGCGUGGAGGAAGAAGGUCUUCGGAUUGUAAACUCCUGUUGUUGAGGAAGAUAA
This 428-nucleotide ribosomal RNA is filed under the name uncultured bacterium. RNAcentral's name for it is "bacterial SSU rRNA". It matches the Rfam family "Bacterial small subunit ribosomal RNA", at positions 28 to 451 of the family's 1533-position model. The record is from RNAcentral.